GGGCCAGUACUGGUUUCGACAGGGAUCUAGAAGCUUGAGGAGCCAUUGGGAGGGACCACCUUACGGUACAAACUUAAAUAUAAACGCAGAUAAUAAAUUAGCGUACGCUGCCUAGUUUGCAGCAGUCAGCUCCGGAUCACCUACAGUCUGUGAGUCCUGGCUUCAAAUAAUGUAGGACCCUCAUUUGCCUAAGCUUUGCGGCAGAUGAAGUAUUUAUGAAGCUACUAAAGCAGUGAUCCUGUCUGUCGGAGCACUGUGGAGGGAAUGUAAAAAGACAGACUGUAAUGGGAGAGCCUCAUGUGGAAAGGUUUUUGGACGCGGGUUCGAUUCCCGCCUGGUCCAUUA
RNAcentral lists this transfer-messenger RNA (345 nucleotides) under Anaerostipes sp. 494a. It matches the Rfam family "transfer-messenger RNA". From Rfam's summary of the family: Bacterial tmRNA, also known as 10Sa RNA or SsrA, is named for its dual tRNA and mRNA-like properties. Its role is to liberate the mRNA from a stalled ribosome. Lineage: Bacteria; Bacillati; Bacillota; Clostridia; Lachnospirales; Lachnospiraceae. The record is from Rfam by way of RNAcentral. RNAcentral also lists the same sequence under 1 other name.